Molecule: long non-coding RNA, 335 nt
Organism: Cyprinodon tularosa
Lineage: Eukaryota; Metazoa; Chordata; Actinopteri; Cyprinodontiformes; Cyprinodontidae
Exons: 2
Source: RefSeq, a predicted model, not a curated record
AGUAAAGAGGCGUAUCAGUACCUCCACAGCGGAAAAGUUGGCAAGGUGUUAAUCAGUAACAACAUCAACGAUCUGAUAUUCCUGAAAGCUGAUGUCAACCCAAGCCAAAGCAAAUCCGACGCUCAUUCGGCAUGGAUCCUGACCACAUCAACCGGCACUGUUGAGACGGCCGGGUGCACCUGUGUUGCGGGUUUGGGGAAAUCCUGCAGUCAUGCUGCAGCGAUUUUAUGGAAGGUGCAGUAUGCUGUAUCGAAAGGUCUCACUGGAUGGUCCUGCACAGAUGAGCAGCGGCACUGGAAUUCAGGCACACAGCGCAAUUUAGUCCCUAAAAGUUU